GACGAACGCUGGCGGCGUGCUUAACACAUGCAAGUCGAACGGAAAGGCCCUGCUUGCAGGGUACUCGAGUGGCGAACGGGGGAGGAACACGUGGGUGAUCUGCCCUGCACUUCGGGAUAAGCCUGGGAAACUGGGUCUAAUACCGGAUAGGAGACAUUUUCAGUGUGAUGGUGGGAAAGUUUUUUCGGUGUAGGAUGAGCUCGCGGCCUAUCAGCUUGUUGGUGGGGGAAUGGCCUACCAAGGCGGCGACGGGUAGCCGGCCUGAGAGGGUGGACGGCCACAUUGGGACUGAGAUGCGGCCCAGACUCCUACGGGAGGCAGCAGUGGGGAAUAUUGCAGAAGCGGCGCAAGCCGGAUGCAGCGACGCCGCGUGGGGGAGGACGGCCUUCGGGUUGUAAACUCCUUUCGCUAGGGACGAAGCUUUUUGUGACGGUACCUAGAUAAGAAGCACCGGCUAACUACGUG
Molecule: ribosomal RNA, 465 nt
Filed under: uncultured bacterium
Lineage: Bacteria
Description: partial 16S ribosomal RNA
Rfam family: Bacterial small subunit ribosomal RNA
Source: RNAcentral